This 5258-nucleotide long non-coding RNA is filed under the name Equus caballus (horse). RNAcentral's name for it is "lncRNA (ENSECAG00000053037.1)". The record is from RNAcentral. Lineage: Eukaryota; Metazoa; Chordata; Mammalia; Perissodactyla; Equidae.
GGCGCAUCAUGAGCACUAGUAAGUGUCAGCUGGUAUCACAUUAGCACAGGUGCUCUUCUCUCUUGCUCUCACAAUCCUGCGCGGCCUCACCCUUUCUCCACAGGCCAGAACAGCUCCCUGCAGAAGGGCUUCUAGAUGUACUGCGAGUUUUCUGAUGAAGUACCUGGUAAUUUUACAGUUAGCAAAACCAAGUAAAUUGUAAGAUUCAGUUGAAGCAAAGGAAUCAGGCCCCCAUCAGAAGAGAAUGAGAAGAGCGGGGCCAGAGCGGUGGGAGACAGGGUCUCAGGAAUCUGUUCCUGCCUUGGAACUGGAACUGGCCUGCUGUGUGACGUUGGGUAAGUCCCUUCCCCUCUCUGGGCCUCUGAUUCCUCAUCUGUGAAACAAAGAGACUGAUCAGAUGAGUUGUAGGUCCUCUCCUACCAUGGACAUUCUACCAUCUAUUCAUUCUUGUGGAGUCACUGGGUCUCUCUGGGCCCCAUUACUUUUCAGACUGUUAAGAACUAUGCCCCUGGCUCUUCCCUGCCUUCCAGAGCUGGGUGAUCAGCACAUCGCCCCUAGGUUCCAGAGACCUGGACACUCCAAGGAUCUGAGAGGGAUAGAUCGCUCAACUUGGCCGGCCGAGCAAUGGUUCUCAAACUUCACAGACACCAAAUCAGCAGCUUUCACCUGAGCUUCCCCCAGCCCUGCCCCCAGGAAGGAGGGAUGGCAUUGUUCUGUCACACACACCUGCUGGGCACAGAUCACAGGGUCCCUCCCAGGGCAGGAAGGCAUGGGUGGGGCAGGAUUGACUGCCUGGGUCUCAAGAUGAAUUAUUCAUUCCCCGGAACCAGGAAGGGGAUUUUCUUGAGUGCUAGAGACCUCGAUACCUGGUGUACUCUAUUCAAUUUGGCUGGGAGGAAUAGCGGAGUAGCGGAGGUCGGGGGAGAGGGCGGAACCAGAGCAAAACAGCCUUGUGUUAUUAAAGGGAAGCUGCAUUCUAGGCCCUGGGUGUCCCAGCUCUGGCAAAAGAUGACUUGCCAAGCAGGCCCAAGCGGUAACCUACCACCUCCAAUGGACCGUGCAGGUGUAGACAAUGAGCAUGGCCACCGUGCAAGGCCAGUGCACCUUCCCCAAGUGUUCCAGACUUUCUAAGAAAGGCCUGGAGAACUUGACUCACUAGGAGAAGGUGGAGAGAGAACGAGCCCCAAAGAUGAUUGAGAUGGAGUUCUCAGCCCCUGGAGGGGUGGAGGCUCACAGAGACACAUCAUUUAAUUUUAGAAAAAUAAAGUAAUGUAGCAUUACUUGCGCCCGAGCGAUGCAGAGCAGUAAAAUUCCUGCCUGCUACAUGAAGAGCCUCAAAUGAAUGGGAAUGGGUGGCAGCAUUGGCGUCAGUCAUCUCCUUGCACAAGAUCCUUCAGUGGAGUCUUGGCCCCUGUCACUGAUCAUCCUCCACCACCCUCUGCCAGGUACUCAGGCCCCUGUGUCCUUCUACAAGAGUGGUACCUGCUACAGACUAAACUGUGUGUCCUCAAAUUUCAUAGUUUGAAACCCCCACUCCCAGUGUGACUGUAUUUGGAAAUUGAGUCUUUAAGAAGAUAAUUAAGGUUAAAUGAGGUCAUAAGGGUGGGGCCCUAACCUGAUAGGACUGGCGUCUUUACGAGAAGAGAAAGAGACGCCAGAGGCUGGGUGCACACAGAAGAAAGGCCGUGUGAGGAGAGUGAGAGGGUGGCCAUCUGAAAGCCGGGAGGAGAGUCCUCACCAGAACCUGCUCGACCUCUGUCUUGGACUUGCAGCCUCCAGAAUGGGUGUCUUUCUUCCCUAGUGCUGUCUGCUCAUGCAAAGUUCAAGAAUCUGAAUGAUGUUUACUACACUUGGUCCAUCCAUGUCCUGCUCCAGAUCGCAUUCCAAGAUUCUGCUUCAGGAUCUCCCCUUGCCGUGGCUUCUGGAACAACCAGCCCCAACAGCCCUCUGGCACUGCAUGAUUUCCCUCUCCUUCCUACAGGAGCCCACAAGACUAUGUCCUUCUGCCUUUCUGUGGUCCUGGUGCCUUUAUCCCGAUCCUCUCUUAAUCCCCUCAACACUGUGAUUGUGCAGACAAACUAGUCUAGAUUCAAGUCCAGCCCCACUAAGGCUGUGUGAUCCAGACAAGUGACUUCAUGUGUUUGGGACUCAAUUUACUGUUCUUUGAAGUGAGGAUGACAGCACUUGUCUCCUAGGGCUGCUGUGAGGGUGAGAUGAGGUCCUGGCACACACCUGGGACAUCCUGGCUACACGGCUCACAGGUGUACCUGUCUCAGAGGAUGAAAGGAGAUGACAGAAGUAAAGAGCGAAGGCCUAGAGUGCACGUGCAUGUAGUAGGCACUCAGUACGUGGAAAUUAUUUUUGCAUUGUCACUGUCUCCCUGCCUUCAGAGGCUCACAAGAUCAGGAUCAAGCCUGAGAGGACUUUGUAGACCACCUAGUCCAGACCCAUCCAUUUUCCAGCUGGGAGAGCUGCCCAAGGUUCCACAGCGAGUAGGGCAAAGUUGGUAGAUGUGGUGGACACGGUGUUGACCUGAGAGCUCUCCCUAAUAAAACUCUGCAGGCUAACCUCCCUCUCCAAGAGUACUGCUGAGAACCUGACCUGUGAUGGUAGGAGGGUGAGACAUCUGUCGGCUGAUAGGCAGAUCUUCUGUCUCCUGGUUCCUGCCGUUUCCAUGUUGAGGUACAGAAUCAAUGUCCUUGGCCACACCCCAGGGGGAAGGAGACCCCUGACUCUGAGAGAGUAGUCACCAGCCUCUGCUACCGGGCCAGGAUUUCUGCAGCCACUUCACUAUCUUCCCCACCUCUAACAUCCUCCUCCUCGAAUAAGGCCCUUCACAGUAUCCUUGGUGGCAUUCUAAAUCACUAAUCCAGCCUCAGGUCUUUCCUGUGUAAAAUGACUCCUCUUUCCCUAGAGGAGACACUCAAGCCCAAGCUCAUUAACUCCGUUUGGGGCUCCUGCUCGUUCGCCCAGCUGCACCUCUUCCUUCUCUCUUUCCACAACAUUCUGAACUUUGUUAUUUCACACGACAUGUUCUUUCAUCUUGCCUUUUUGCAGGAGUCCUUCUCUCCGUUUGGAACACCUCCCGCUCCUCCUCUGAAACUUUAUCCCACAGGUGAUCCAUCCCUCCUGUUUCCCGUUCCUAGUUCCGUGGUUGCCGGGCCACUCUGCACUGUAACUAUCAGCUCAGUGGGCCGUCUUCCUCGCUCCUCCUUAAGGGUGGGGACUGUGCCCCGGUCAUCUCGGUGUCCCUAGGCCCUGGCGCAGAAGGAAUGCCUUAUACGUGACACAGGAAGCCCCCCAGUCCUAGGCUCUUAAAUCUACCUUUGGUUGGGGAGUGGGUGGAGGGACUAGGGCACCUGAAACUCACUGUUUCUUCCAAAAGCUCUGAGCCUGGGAGGAGCUGCCUGAAUUGCAGGGCAGUUGGGAGCUGGGGAUCUGACCACAGGCAGCGUGUGCCCACAGCCGUCCCCAUGGGAACCAUGUCAGGCAAAGCUCCAGCUUAGAAUGAGCAGCCUGCCUAGGGCCUGAACCCAGCGGGGGCCGACGUGGGCACAGGGCUGGCUUAGGCCACCCGCAGCCCCCCGCCUCAGGGGCCUGUGAGGGGCUGCAGCUGCAGGGAUCCGGUGGGCAGGUUGCCAUGGAAACCAAACUGCUCGCCUUUUCUGGUGCUUGGAGUUCUGACAGGGAGGCCAAACUCCACAGAGCACCCUUGCCCCUGGGCUCCUCCUGGCCCGCUCAGCCUGUGUCCAGGGCACAUCACGGGCACAGAGAUGGCUGACAGGGGCUCGGAGUCACAGGAAAGCAGAAAGCACCAAGAAACUGGCCAUGAUUCUCUCCCUUCCACCUCAUCUGAUUAUUGCCAUGGGUUGGGGAUGGUUACUGCCUGAGAGGAGAUGGCUCACCCAAGGAGCAGUGCCCAAAGGAGGCAAGAGUCACGUCUGGGAAAGCUGUGGUGUCAAGAGCCUUGGUGUAGCAGACCUUGAGUUCUCCUCCUUGUCCUCAUGCUUCACAGCUUCAUUGGUGAAGCCUUUCUACCUCUCUAAGCCCAGUUUCCCCACUCACAAAAUAAGGACCACUUGAUCCACCAGAUAUCCAUCAGGCAUCAUUAUUCAAAGGCAUGGUGCCAGGGGCUGGACUUCCAGGAAUAAGUCAUGGACCCUGCCCUGGAGGAACUCCCAGCCGCACAGAAGGGCUCUCUGUUGACCCACUGUGUGCCUGGCAUUAUGAAGCAUGCCAGAAUAGGCACGGUCACACUUUUCUCAAGGAGCACAAAUAAAACUUCUUAGGGAGAUGAACUCAGAGCAUGCACCUACGAAACACAGAAGGAAGGUUGUAACUUACUGAGAAAGAAAACUUUAAUGUGUAUCUUUACUUGAGACAGGAGGGUUCCUGGGAUGAAGCCUGAAAAGAGGAGGUUGAGUCACAGGGGGUGAAACUGGUCUGUGUCAUAAAAUUCUCUGGUUGUGUGGAGCAGAAGAAAUCUUUGCAAAAUAUAUUGCUUUCUGAAAAAUAAUUCUUUCCCUUUGCUAUGCUAAAAGUGUCCUGAGAACCCAGUUCCAAUGUGUGUCGGCGGGGAGGGUUUCCCUCACAUCCAGCUAGCAAGGCCUACAAUUCAACUAAAUUCUGACACCACCCACCUGGAGACAGCAUCAGACUCCACAAGCUAAGGACUCAGACCCACAAGACUGCCCUCUGCUUUAGACGCCAAUCACAAGCCCAGGUUGUUAGCUGUACUGCUGACAGACUGGCUAUACAUCAGAGAUUCCCAUGACCCCCUCUUUGGGUUCGAUUAACUUGCCAGAGCAGCUCACAGAAUGCAGGAAACCUGUUUACUCACUAGAUUACCAGCUUGUUAUAGAAGGAUAUAACUCAGGAAUAGCCAGAUGGGACAGAUGCACAGGGCAGGGUUUGGGGAAAAGGCACAGAGGUUCCAUGCCCUCUCCAGGCACGCUACUCUCCCAGAGUCUCCACAUGUUCACCAGCUCAGAAGCUCCCUAAACCCCAUCCUUUGGAGUUUUUAUGAGGCUUCAUUACAGAGGCGUCAUUGAUUAAAUCAUUGGCCGUUGGCAAUUGAACUCAACCUGCAGCCCCCUCCCCAGACAUGGCAGGAGGAGCGGGGGGUGACUGAAAGUUCCAACCCUCUAAUCACAUGAUUGAUUCUCCUGCAACCAGCCCACCUGCUUAGGUGCAGUCCAAAUGUCACCAAGGAAAUGCCAAGGGUUUAGGAGCUCUGCACCAGAAAACAAGGCGAAGAC